Molecule: ribosomal RNA, 752 nt
Filed under: uncultured bacterium
Lineage: Bacteria
Description: bacterial SSU rRNA
Rfam family: Bacterial small subunit ribosomal RNA
Source: RNAcentral
UUUGUCGCGUUGUUCGUGAAAUCUCACGGCUUAACUGUGAGCGUGCGGGCGAUACGGGCAGACUUGAGUACUGCAGGGGAGACUGGAAUUCCUGGUGUAGCGGUGGAAUGCGCAGAUAUCAGGAGGAACACCGGUGGCGAAGGCGGGUCUCUGGGCAGUAACUGACGCUGAGGAGCGAAAGCGUGGGGAGCGAACAGGAUUAGAUACCCUGGUAGUCCACGCCGUAAACGGUGGGUACUAGGUGUGGGUUUCCUUCCUUGGGAUCCGUGCCGUAGCUAACGCAUUAAGUACCCCGCCUGGGGAGUACGGCCGCAAGGCUAAAACUCAAAGAAAUUGACGGGGGCCCGCACAAGCGGCGGAGCAUGUGGAUUAAUUCGAUGCAACGCGAAGAACCUUACCUGGGUUUGACAUGCACAGGACGCCGGCAGAGAUGUCGGUUCCCUUGUGGCCUGUGUGCAGGUGGUGCAUGGCUGUCGUCAGCUCGUGUCGUGAGAUGUUGGGUUAAGUCCCGCAACGAGCGCAACCCUUGUCUCAUGUUGCCAGCGGGUAAUGCCGGGGACUCGUGAGAGACUGCCGGGGUCAACUCGGAGGAAGGUGGGGAUGACGUCAAGUCAUCAUGCCCCUUAUGUCCAGGGCUUCACACAUGCUACAAUGGCCGGUACAAAGGGCUGCGAUGCCGCGAGGUUAAGCGAAUCCUUUUAAAGCCGGUCUCAGUUCGGAUCGGGGUCUGCAACUCGACCCCGUGAAGUCGG